Molecule: ribosomal RNA, 450 nt
Filed under: uncultured Glomeromycotina
Lineage: Eukaryota; Fungi; Glomeromycota
Description: SSU rRNA
Rfam family: Eukaryotic small subunit ribosomal RNA
Source: RNAcentral
AGCAGCCGCGGUAAUUCCAGCUCCAAUAGCGUAUAUUAAAGUUGUUGCAGUUAAAAAGCUCGUAGUUGAAUUUCGGGGUUAGUAGGUUGGUCAUGCCUCUGGUAUGUACUGGUCUCACUGAUUCCUCCUUCCUGAUGAGCCUUAAUGCCAUUAAUUUGGUGUUUUGGGGAAUUUGGACUGUUACUUUGAAAAAUUAGAGUGUUUAAAGCAAGCUAACGCUUGAAUACAUUAGCAUGGAAUAAUGAAAUAGGACGUUCGAUCCUAUUUUGUUGGUUUCUAGGAUUGACGUAAUGAUUAAUAGGGAUAGUUGGGGGCAUUAGUAUUCAAUUGUCAGAGGUGAAAUUCUUGGAUUUAUUGAAGACUAACUACUGCGAAAGCAUUUGCCAAGGAUGUUUUCAUUAAUCAAGAACGAAAGUUAGGGGAUCGAAGACGAUCAGAUACCGUCGUAGU